This 415-nucleotide ribosomal RNA is filed under the name uncultured beta proteobacterium. Its description in RNAcentral is "bacterial SSU rRNA". It matches the Rfam family "Bacterial small subunit ribosomal RNA", at positions 9 to 429 of the family's 1533-position model. The record is from RNAcentral. Lineage: Bacteria; Pseudomonadati; Pseudomonadota; Betaproteobacteria.
GAGUUUGAUCGUGGCUCAGAUUGAACGCUGGCGGAAUGCUUUACACAUGCAAGUCGAGCGGCAGCGCGGGGCAACCUGGCGGCGAGCGGCGAACGGGUGAGUAAUGCAUCGGAACAUGUCCAUGUCGUGGGGGAUAGCCCGGCGAAAGCCGGAUUAAUACCGCAUACGCCCGAGAGGGGAAAGUGGGGGACCGCAAGGCCUCACGCGAUUGGGUUGGCCGAUGUCCGAUUAGCUAGUUGGCGGGGUAAUGGCCCACCAAGGCGAUGAUCGGUAGCUGGUCUGAGAGGAUGAUCAGCCACACUGGGACUGAGACACGGCCCAGACUCCUACGGGAGGCAGCAGUGGGGAAUUUUGGACAAUGGGGGCAACCCUGAUCCAGCCAUUCCGCGUGAGUGAAGAAGGCCUCGGUUGUAAG